UGAGAAAUGUUGGCAACCCAUGGAUUAUCUGCCGGAACCUGAAUCGGAAGGAUUUUAUGAGCAAGUCAAGGAGUUGAGAGAAAGAUGCAAGGAAAUCCCUGAUGACUAUUUUGUGGUAUUGGUUGGAGAUAUGAUCACAGAAGAAGCCCUUCCUACUUACCAGACAAUGCUGAACACCCUAGACGGGGUUCGAGAUGAGACUGGUGCAAGCCUCACUUCUUGGGCAAUUUGGACUAGGGCUUGGACUGCUGAAGAAAACAGGCAUGGCGACCUUCUCAAUAAGUAUCUCUACCUAUCUGGACGUGUAGACAUGAAGCAAAUUGAGAAGACAAUUCAAUACCUGAUAGGAUCAGGAAUGGUGAGAUUCUCCUUUCCUAUUACUAAAUUCUAUAUAAGAGGACAAGCUUCUUCUGUUGUCUAUGCUGUGCACUUGAUUUUUCAGUAUUUAUGAGUUUGUUGUUUUCUUAGGAUCCUAAAACAGAAAACAACCCCUACCUUGGUUUCAUCUACACUUCAUUCCAAGAGAGGGCAACAUUUAUCUCCCAUGGGAACACAGCCAGACAUGCCAAGGAUUAUGGAGACUUGAAACUUGCACAGAUAUGUGGCAUCAUUGCCUCUGAUGAGAAACGCCAUGAAACUGCCUACACCAAGAUUGUGGAGAAGCUCUUUGAAAUUGAUCCAGAUGGCACUGUCAUGGCUUUAGCUGAUAUGAU
RNAcentral lists this long non-coding RNA (713 nucleotides) under Citrus sinensis (sweet orange). Its description in RNAcentral is "long non-coding RNA (CSIN_LNC001398)". Lineage: Eukaryota; Viridiplantae; Streptophyta; Magnoliopsida; Sapindales; Rutaceae. The record is from RNAcentral.